UACGUAGGGUGCGAGCGUUGUCCGGAAUUAUUGGGCGUAAAGGGCUCGUAGGCGGUCUGUCACGUCGAAAGUGAAAACUCAGGGCUUAACCCUGAGCCUGCUUCCGAUACGGGCAGACUAGAGGUAUGCAGGGGAGAACGGAAUUCCUGGUGUAGCGGUGAAAUGCGCAGAUAUCAGGAGGAACACCGGUGGCGAAGGCGGUUCUCUGGGCAUUACCUGACGCUGAGGAGCGAAAGCCAGGGGAGCAAACGGG
RNAcentral lists this ribosomal RNA (253 nucleotides) under uncultured bacterium. RNAcentral describes it as "partial 16S ribosomal RNA". It matches the Rfam family "Bacterial small subunit ribosomal RNA", at positions 524 to 776 of the family's 1533-position model. The record is from RNAcentral.